UCUGAACAACACAAGGGAACCUGGCUGUCAAGGCAAAGACCCUAAACCCAGCCCUGCCCCAACACUCAUUUCUUGCCCCGCCUUGGCUCCUUUCCCCACUUCCCCGUCUCAAGAGCCCCCUUCCAGCUGCUGCUAUCAGUGUAGGACUGAGGAGCCAGGAAAAACAGACACCCUAGGAGUCAAGGCAGGACUUGGGCAUACAGUUUCAGAAGGUCACUCCAGUAGCUCACUCACGGAACACAGACCCACAGAGGACCAUCUUGCUUGGUUGAUCUCAUGAAGUUCUGUCCAGACUACUGCCUUCUUCUUCAAUGACAUCCACCUGUGCCAUUCACCCCUUCCAAUCCUGGCCUUUUCAUCCAAAGUUCUCUCUACUACCCUGGUCUCCAAGUCCCCCAAUUCUCUGCCAGCACCAGCCAACUGGACAAGUACCUCAUCAAAGUCAGCGAUGAUCUCGUUGA
Molecule: long non-coding RNA, 461 nt
Organism: Callithrix jacchus (white-tufted-ear marmoset)
Lineage: Eukaryota; Metazoa; Chordata; Mammalia; Primates; Cebidae
Source: RefSeq, a predicted model, not a curated record